GUGGGGAAUAUUGGACAAUGGGCGAAAGCCUGAUCCAGCCAUGCCGCGUGUGUGAAGAAGGUCUUCGGAUUGUAAAGCACUUUAAGUUGGGAGGAAGGGCAUUAACCUAAUACGUUAGUGUUUUGACGUUACCGACAGAAUAAGCACCGGCUAACUUCGUGCCAGCAGCCGCGGUAAUACGAAGGGUGCAAGCGUUAAUCGGAAUUACUGGGCGUAAAGCGCGCGUAGGUGGUUCGUUAAGUUGGAUGUGAAAGCCCCGGGCUCAACCUGGGAACUGCAUCCAGAACUGGCGAGCUAGAGUACGGUAGAGGGUGGUGGAAUUUCCUGUGUAGCGGUGAAAUGCGUAGAUAUAGGAAGGAACACCAGUGGCGAAGGCGACCACCUGGACUGAUACUGACACUGAGGUGCGAAAGCGUGGGGAGCAAACAGGAUUAGAUACCCUAGUAGUCC
RNAcentral lists this ribosomal RNA (450 nucleotides) under uncultured bacterium. RNAcentral describes it as "partial 16S ribosomal RNA". It matches the Rfam family "Bacterial small subunit ribosomal RNA", at positions 354 to 796 of the family's 1533-position model. The record is from RNAcentral.